GAUGAACGCUGGCGGCGUGCCUAAUACAUGCAAGUCGAGCGAACAGACGAGGAGCUUGCUCCUCUGACGUUAGCGGCGGACGGGUGAGUAACACGUGGAUAACCUCCCUAUAAGACUGGGAUAACUUCGGGAAACCGGAGCUAAUACCGGAUAAUAUAUUGAACCGCAUGGUUCAAUAGUGAAAGACGGUUUUGCUGUCACUUAUAGAUGGAUCCGCGCCGCAUUAGCUAGUUGGUAAGGUAACGGCUUACCAAGGCGACGAUGCGUAGCCGACCUGAGAGGGUGAUCGGCCGCACUGGAACUGAGACACGGUCCAGACUCCUACGGGAGGCAGCAGUAGGGAAUCUUCCGCAAUGGGCGAAAGCCUGACGGAGCAACGCCGCGUGAGUGAUGAAGGUCUUCGGAUCGUAAAACUCUGUUAUUAGGGAAGAACAAAUGUGUAAGUAACUAUGCACGUCUUGACGGUACCUAAUCAGAAAGCCACGGCUAACUACGUG
Molecule: ribosomal RNA, 497 nt
Filed under: uncultured bacterium
Lineage: Bacteria
Description: partial 16S ribosomal RNA
Rfam family: Bacterial small subunit ribosomal RNA
Source: RNAcentral